Molecule: ribosomal RNA, 858 nt
Filed under: Exiguobacterium artemiae
Lineage: Bacteria; Bacillati; Bacillota; Bacilli; Caryophanales
Description: bacterial SSU rRNA
Rfam family: Bacterial small subunit ribosomal RNA
Source: RNAcentral
UCGCGAGCUAUAAUGCAAGUCGAGCGCAGGAAGCUCACGGAACUCUUCGGAGGGAAGUGAAGGGAAUGAGCGGCGGACGGGUGAGUAACACGUAAGGAACCUGCCCCAAGGAUUGGGAUAACUCCGAGAAAUCGGAGCUAAUACCGAAUAGUUCUUCAGACCGCAUGGUCUGAUGAUGAAAGGCGCUUCGGCGUCACCUUGGGAUGGCCUUGCGGUGCAUUAGCUAGUUGGUGGGGUAAUGGCCCACCAAGGCGACGAUGCAUAGCCGACCUGAGAGGGUGAUCGGCCACACUGGGACUGAGACACGGCCCAGACUCCUACGGGAGGCAGCAGUAGGGAAUCUUCCACAAUGGACGAAAGUCUGAUGGAGCAACGCCGCGUGAGUGAUGAAGGUUUUCGGAUCGUAAAACUCUGUUGUAAGGGAAGAACAAGUACGAGAGGGAAUGCUCGUACCUUGACGGUACCUUGCGAGAAAGCCACGGCUAACUACGUGCCAGCAGCCGCGGUAAUACGUAGGUGGCAAGCGUUGUCCGGAAUUAUUGGGCGUAAAGCGCGCGCAGGCGGCCUUUUAAGUCUGAUGUGAAAGCCCCCGGCUCAACCGGGGAGGGUCAUUGGAAACUGGAAGGCUUGAGUACAGAAGAGAAGAGUGGAAUUCCAUGUGUAGCGGUGAAAUGCGUAGAGAUGUGGAGGAACACCAGUGGCGAAGGCGACUCUUUGGUCUGUAACUGACGCUGAGGCGCGAAAGCGUGGGGAGCAAACAGGAUUAGAUACCCUGGUAGUCCACGCCGUAAACGAUGAGUGCUAGGUGUUGGGGGGUUUCCGCCCCUCAGUGCUGAAGCUAACGCAUUAAGCACUCCG